This 253-nucleotide ribosomal RNA is filed under the name uncultured bacterium. RNAcentral's name for it is "partial 16S ribosomal RNA". It matches the Rfam family "Bacterial small subunit ribosomal RNA", at positions 524 to 776 of the family's 1533-position model. The record is from RNAcentral.
UACAGAGGGUGCGAGCGUUGUUCGGAAUUACUGGGCGUAAAGGGCUCGUAGGCGGCCAACUAAGUCGGAUGUGAAAUCCCCAGGCUUAACCUGGGAACUGCAUCCGAUACUGGAUGGCUUGAAUUCGGGAGAGGGAUGCAGAAUUCCAGGUGUAGCGGUGAAAUGCGUAGAUAUCUGGAGGAAUACCGGUGGCGAAGGCGGCAUCCUGGACCGAGAUUGACGCUGAUGAGCGAAAGCUAGGGGAGCAAACGGG